AGAAAUGGAGGGGCUGGCGCUGUGAUCGUUAGGGAUUACCAAGGAAGAUUCAUAGCUGGUCUAUCUUUCAAAAUUGACGCAUCACACUCGCUAGAUUUGGCGACGGAAGCUGCAUUCAAGGGAGCUCUCUGGGCAAUUAACCUAGGUGAAAUUCAAUGUUUGGAGACCGACUCUAUGGAUUUGAAGAAACGGACUGAAACGGCGAAUGAUAAUUGGGUCUUCAAAAAAUUGCUGGUGGAGCAUAACAUUCACAUUCAACAUAUUUUUAGAGAAGGGAACCAAGCUGCACACCAUUUAGCUUCAUUUUCUCUUAAACAUAAUUUGUACACAACUUUUAUUACAUUCUCAAGUUUGCCCAAACUAGUUAGGGGGGCUAUUCUUAC
RNAcentral lists this long non-coding RNA (383 nucleotides) under Jatropha curcas. RNAcentral's name for it is "long non-coding RNA (JCUR_LNC000741)". The record is from RNAcentral. Lineage: Eukaryota; Viridiplantae; Streptophyta; Magnoliopsida; Malpighiales; Euphorbiaceae.